This 553-nucleotide ribosomal RNA is filed under the name uncultured bacterium. Its description in RNAcentral is "partial 16S ribosomal RNA". It matches the Rfam family "Bacterial small subunit ribosomal RNA", at positions 355 to 900 of the family's 1533-position model. The record is from RNAcentral.
UAGGGAAUCUUCCACAAUGGACGCAAGUCUGAUGGAGCAACGCCGCGUGAGUGAAGAAGGUUUUCGGACCGUAAAGCUCUGUUGUUGGUGAAGAAGGAUAGAGGUAGUAACUGGCCUUUAUUUGACGGUAAUCAACCAGAAAGUCACGGCUAACUACGUGCCAGCAGCCGCGGUAAUACGUAGGUGGCAAGCGUUGUCCGGAUUUAUUGGGCGUAAAGCGAGCGCAGGCGGAAGAAUAAGUCUGAUGUGAAAGCCCUCGGCUUAACCGAGGAAUUGCAUCGGAAACUGUUUUCUUGAGUGCAGAAGAGGAGAGUAGAACUCCAUGUGUAGCGGUGGAAUGCGUAGAUAUAUGGAAGAAUACCAGUGGCGAAGGCGGCUCUCUGGUCUGCAACUGACGCUGAGGUUCGAAAGCAUGGGUAGCGAACAGGAUUAGAUACCCUGGUAGUCCAUGCCGUAAACGAUGAGUGCUAAGUGUUGGGAGGCUUCCGCCUCUCAGUGCUGCAGCUAACGCAUUAAGCACUCCGCCUGGGGAGUACGACCGCAAGGUUGAAAC